Non-coding RNA from Salmo salar (Atlantic salmon), 54 nucleotides. Lineage: Eukaryota; Metazoa; Chordata; Actinopteri; Salmoniformes; Salmonidae. The record is from Rfam.
UGUAUACAUGACUGUAGGUGGCUUUGGAUAAAAGCGUCUGCUAAAUGGCGUACA